This is a small nucleolar RNA of Cydia strobilella, 94 nucleotides long. RefSeq annotates it as small nucleolar RNA U3. Lineage: Eukaryota; Metazoa; Arthropoda; Insecta; Lepidoptera; Tortricidae. The transcript has a single exon. The record is from RefSeq and is a predicted model, not a curated record.
GAGACCUUACUUCAUAGGAUCAUUUCUAUAGUAAGCUCUUCGCCAGGCUAUUACAAUACCUGGCCCCGUAGACAAGAUGCCAAUCGCUACUGUC